GUCCCCGGCGUCCGGGCGCCCUGCAUGGAUCCCCCACCCCAGCUCCUGCUCCCCGGCGGCGGCCGGUGGGCAGAAAGACCGAAACCCACUCACGGCCGCCUGCCGAAUCGCGGCUCUGCUGUUUGUGGGGCGUGCUAGAAACGUGGUCCUAAAAAGAAUGGCGUCCAUUUACAUAAUGCUUUGUUUGCGUUUCGCAAGUUUCUUUCGGUUAAAGCCACAGAAACCCCACCUCCUGCCCUUGUGUCGUUUCCACCGCGGCACCCUUUUCCGACAUUAGAAACAAUAGUGUACGCCUGUGGAGGCCUCGUUUGUUCAGGGGCUGCCGGCCAGGGCUUCAGGACGUUUCUGCGGCUUUCCCCGCGCGGCCUGGGCUCCCGCGGCUGCUUUUCGGGCCCAUGGGCGCAGCCACUGCGCCAGGCUCAAGGGGGGCGGCCCCGUCAGGGCCCGCCAUCUUGGAAGGCCUUUUUUGCCGGUUCUUCCCGCUGAGGAAGUGUCGCUCAAGACGCUGGCCUAUGAGUUGUGAUUUCUGCCUUUUCCCCUUCCUCCUUGGGCUAAGCCAGACCAGAAAGGGCCCCGUGCGCAACGUGCUUCACAAUCUCUCAGGGAAAGCGGCUAACGUGGCGCUACUCCGCCUCCCCUGUUCCUUACCCUUGGGGCGGCCGCCAUGUUUCCUGAACACAAAAUGGCGACACGUGGUUAGCAUUCGUCGCCAACGAGAAAUUGGGGUCGGCCCGAAAGCUCUAGAAUGCACCCCUCUUCCUCCCCGGGGCCUUCCACCUCCGCGAGUUUUAUGACUUAAAAAAGCCCACAGGCUGGUCUGAAGGUCGGAGGCCUAAUUUUAACGCGUUUUCCUCCCUUUAAUUUGAAACGGGAACGCGAAUGACUGUAAAAUGUGGGCACAAUAUUUAAUCUCUCGCCUUUUUAAAGCUUAAUAGUGGAUAAUAGGGGGGCAGUAUCAAGGGAUAAUUUGGGUCCCCACAGUACCAAAGCAUUUAGAAACCUCUGUUUAAUUUAAGGAAUGAGAUAAGUUACUGCUUUUCUAGACUUCCUAGCAUGGGCUGUUGUGCUGGAGAGAACGAGAGCUACGAAGAGACUACAGUGCCUCUGACUUUUUCAUAGGACAGUUGGCCGAGGAAGACAAACAUAAAGAUGAAGUGCUUAAUUCAAGGUCACACAAUGUCGGGGAUGGACCUCCAGAUUUCCUUACUGGAAAACAAGCUCAGGGCUCCCACUGAUUGUACAUUAUGAGACGGAGUCUUGCUAUGUUGCCCAGGCUGGUCUUGAACUCCUCACCUCAAGCGAUCCUCCCGUCUUGGCCUCCCAAGUGUCAGGAUUACGGGCAUGUGCUAUCACACCCAACCUGAUACAUUGCCUUUAUAAAUUUUUUUUUCUUUAUUCUAAAAACCAGAAAAAACAAAACUGGAUACAUGUGCAGAACAUGCAGACCAAGUGUGUUGGGGACUUGAGAUGCGUACAUGAGUGUGAUGUUUCCUGCUGAAAGCACAGGUGAGACGUGGUCUUGUAACACAGUGGUUAAGAAUGUGACUUUGGAGCCAGCCUGCUAGGGGCUGAAUUCUGACUCAGCCAUUUACUAACUGUGUGACCUUAGUUCCCUGAGCACAUGCUGUUGAGUAAUCCUGCCUGGACCAGUACUUCCCUCACCCUAGACUUCACCUUCAGUUCCCCUUUAUACCACCUGCUGAAGCUGCCAGCCAGCCUUUUCGACCACCCUCCCUCCCCCAGGGGUGUUUGGCUUCUCAGACCCCAGCCUGAGCUAGUGCCCUUGGCUUCCUAGGGUCUUGCCAGGAAAGCAAAGGAGAACAUGCAUACCGCCAAAGAGUACCUAAUAAUAAGAACUCCCAUCCUGAAUUGUGAUUUAUAGUCAGCAUAGCACAUGUGUCAGGUGAUUAUACUUAGGCUGAUUUUAGCCUUAAUAAUCUGCUUCUGUGAUCCUGUAUGUGGGAAGCCUAGAAAUUUCUCUGUGAUCCUCCUUCCUGGAUCACUAAGAGACAAGUCAAGACAUAGGUCCAUUCUACCACCUGUGUUAAUCUGGGCCUUGUUGAGACCAUUUAAAGAAAGGCGUGAUGCUAGAAGUAAGGUCCAGGCCUCCUGCACACUGUUUCAAGGCUGUGACCAUAGUCAGAUCCUGUUGCUUGAGUCCAAAGAGUUUAAAAUAGUGUUGGAAACCUCCUAGGGAAAAAACAAAAAACAAAACACCACAUCUUCCUGGGUAAGGAAGUGACAUGUGCUGACUAGAGCAGGAGGGGUAGCCAAGGCUCCAAGUUCUAUUCUGGACCUGUUGUUGAUUUGAGGUGUGACAUUCAGCAAUCUGAGCUGAUGUUCUGUAGCUCUGAUUGGUUUCUCAUCUUCUGCAGAGAGAGUGAAAGAGGCUGUGCUUGCAGGGGAAAAGGUGAACACUGGUCUCCUGUCCUUUAGGAGAGCUUCACCAUUACACGUCCUGCCUCUCAUUUGAAUUUCCAGGCUUUUUUAGAGUCUCGCUCUAUUGCCCAGAUUGGAGUGCAGUGGUGUGAUCUCGGCUCACUGCAACCUCUGCCUCUGGGUUUAAGCGAUUCUCUCACCUCAGCCUCCCAAGUAGCUGGAAUUAUAGGUGCGUGCCACCAUGCCUGGCUAAUUUUUGUGUUUUUAGUAGAGACAGGGUUUCACCAUGUUGGCCAGGCUAGUCUCGAACUCCUGACCUCAAGUGAUCCACCCACCUCGGCCUCCCAACCAGGCUUUUUUAAAUGCAGAAACCGCCCGCCCCCAGAGUUAAUAUGGAAACCCAGCAAUGUUGUUUAUGUUUUACUUGAAUUCGUUUCAUCAGAAUUGCAUUCCUUUUAACAGUGUGAUUAGAUCAGCUCUUAGAGGGGAUGGCAGCUUCAGUAGGGUUUAGGAAAGGAAAGGAAUAUUUGUGUGGGGCACACACUUUGGCUUUGAUAGCUUGAGGAUACCAGGUACAUGAUAAUUUAGAUGGAUAACAGAAACUUGUGUCCCUUGAGAGCCAGGCAUGUAUUAGAUGCUUUCAUACAUUAUUUAAUUGUAAUACAAACCAAUAAAGUAUUCCCAUUUUUUGCACAUGGGCAAGCUGAAAGUCAAAGAAGUUAUGUAACUUGCCCAAGGUCACACAGCUAAUAAAAAGGCUGAGCUAGGA
This 3148-nucleotide long non-coding RNA is filed under the name Homo sapiens (human). RNAcentral describes it as "PCBP1 antisense RNA 1, transcript variant 27 (PCBP1-AS1)". Lineage: Eukaryota; Metazoa; Chordata; Mammalia; Primates; Hominidae. The record is from RNAcentral.